RNAcentral lists this ribosomal RNA (649 nucleotides) under Medeolaria farlowii. RNAcentral's name for it is "eukaryotic LSU rRNA". It matches the Rfam family "Eukaryotic large subunit ribosomal RNA", at positions 1 to 665 of the family's 3401-position model. Lineage: Eukaryota; Fungi; Ascomycota; Leotiomycetes; Medeolariales; Medeolariaceae. The record is from RNAcentral.
GACCUCGGAUCAGGUAGGGAUACCCGCUGAACUUAAGCAUAUCAAUAAGCGGAGGAAAAGAAACCAACCGGGAUUACCUUAGUAACGGCGAGUGAAGCGGUAACAGCUCAAAUUUGAAAUCUGGGCCCUGCGGGCCCCGAGUUGUAAUUUGUAGAAGAUGCUUCGGGUGUGGCACUGGUCCAAGUUCCUUGGAACAGGACGUCAUAGAGGGUGAGAAUCCCGUACAUGACCGGUAGCCUGCACCCAUGUGAAGCUCUUUCAACGAGUCGAGUUGUUUGGGAAUGCAGCUCUAAGUGGGUGGUAAAUUUCAUCUAAAGCUAAAUAUGGGCCAGAGACCGAUAGCGCACAAGUAGAGUGAUCGAAAGAUGAAAAGCACUUUGGAAAGAGAGUUAAAUAGUACGUGAAAUUGUUGGAAGGGAAGCGCUUGCAGCCAGACUUGCGUGGGGUCGAUCAUCCGGUGCUCUCACUGGUGCACUCGGCUCUACUCAGGCCAGCAUCGGUUCUGGCGGCUGGAGAAAGGCCUGGGGAAUGUGGCUCCCCCUGGGGAGUGUUAUAGCCCUAGGUGUCAUGCAGCCUGCUGGGACCGAGGACCGCGCCCUGGCUAGGAUGCUGGCGUAAUGGCUGUAAGCGGCCCGUCUCGAAACACGGA